Eurytemora carolleeae is the source of this 186-nucleotide long non-coding RNA. RefSeq lists it as uncharacterized. The record is from RefSeq and is a predicted model, not a curated record. Lineage: Eukaryota; Metazoa; Arthropoda; Copepoda; Calanoida; Temoridae. The transcript is spliced from 2 exons.
AUCAUUUCUUUAAUUUGUCAACUUGACUAAUGUUUAGGUUAUUAUGGCGACCAACAGAAUUGAUAUCCUUGACUCUGCCCUUCUUAGACCUGGGAGAAUAGACAGAAAGAUCGAGUUCCCUCCUCCAAAUGAAGAGGCAAGACUUGAUAUUCUCAAGAUUCAUUCAAGGAAGAUGAAUCUUACAAG